This 264-nucleotide signal recognition particle RNA is filed under the name Bacillota bacterium. Its description in RNAcentral is "signal recognition particle sRNA large type". It matches the Rfam family "Bacterial large signal recognition particle RNA". Rfam says of the family: The signal recognition particle (SRP) is a universally conserved ribonucleoprotein involved in the co-translational targeting of proteins to membranes. Archaeal SRP consists of a 7S RNA and homologues of the eukaryotic SRP19 and SRP54 proteins. In most bacteria, the SRP consists of a 4.5S RNA and the Ffh protein (a homologue of the eukaryotic SRP54 protein). The record is from RNAcentral. Lineage: Bacteria; Bacillati; Bacillota.
CUGUGCUAGAUGGGGAGGUAGCGGUGCCCUGUAACCUGCAACCCGCUAUAGCAGGAUUGAAUGCCGGCUUGCGGCGGCUAUUCGUAGUGACGGCCAUGAUAAGUGGUGUUGAAGAUUGGGUCCUACGCAACGGAGACCGGUGAACCCCGCCAGGUCCGGAAGGAAGCAACGGUAAGCCGGACCCUUCGUGUGCCGUGGGGUAGCCUGAUUGGAGCUAACUAUCUUGGCACAACUGGGAAUCGCUUGUCAAGAGCCGGUGCACAG